This 234-nucleotide unclassified non-coding RNA is filed under the name uncultured fungus. Its description in RNAcentral is "sequence contains ITS1, 5.8S rRNA gene". The stretch from base 186 to 234 matches the Rfam family "5.8S ribosomal RNA", at positions 1 to 49 of the family's 154-position model. The record is from RNAcentral. Lineage: Eukaryota; Fungi.
UCUCCGUAGGUGAACCUGCGGAGGGAUCAUUACUGAGUGAGGGGCUCCGGCCCCAGACCUCCAACCCAUUGUUAUCCGACACUGUUGCCUCGGGGGCGACCCGGCCCUCUGGGCGUCGGGGCCCCCGGUGGCUCACACCUCAACUCUUGCAUCUGUGCGUCUGAGUAACAUAAUGAAUCAAUCAAAACUCUCAACAACGGAUCUCUUGGUUCUGGCAUCGAUGAAGAACGCAGC